RNAcentral lists this long non-coding RNA (337 nucleotides) under Fukomys damarensis (Damara mole-rat). Its description in RNAcentral is "lncRNA (ENSFDAG00000029287.1)". Lineage: Eukaryota; Metazoa; Chordata; Mammalia; Rodentia; Bathyergidae. The record is from RNAcentral.
CCCUUGCCAAGCUUCCCACAGGAGGAAGAAAUAAGCCCCCUCCCCCGUCUAUGGCACUGCCCCUCAGAGAGCCACAGCCCACUGAUGCCCUGGUGCCUUGCAUCCUGUUGUCAUGGUAACCAGGACUAGCUGACGUGCCGACAGGCAGACCAGGAGCUGCUGCCACAGGAAUCACUUGAACUUGAUGUGACAGACACAGAUCUGGCUUGGCCACCUUGGUUCUAAAACGGAGAGAGAUGAUAACGCAUCAUUUGUGAAGAGGGGAAAAAAACGAUCCCAAGAAGCACACAUUUUUUUUUUUAAAAAAAUGACUAAAGAUUUACUAAGAACUACCCAC